Macaca mulatta (Rhesus monkey) is the source of this 1791-nucleotide RNA transcript. It is a transcript of the gene named 14-3-3 protein epsilon pseudogene, with no coding region annotated. Lineage: Eukaryota; Metazoa; Chordata; Mammalia; Primates; Cercopithecidae. The record is from RefSeq and is a predicted model, not a curated record.
GAGCAGUUUUCCGCCUGCGCAGGGCAAAGUCCCUGAUUGAGGUGCCGCCAUUUUUGCUGCCCAGCAGCGGAGCGACAGUCAGAGACACUAUCCGCUUACAUCCGUCUCGCAGACCCUGUAAGAGCGGCUGCUGCUGUGGAUGAUCGAGGGGAUUUGGUACCAGGCAAAGCUGGCCAAGCAGGCUGCGCAAUACAGCGUGCUCUGGAACUGAACCCGCAGUAUCGUCCAAGAAAUGGUGUAAUCAAUGAAGAAAGUAGCAGGGAUGGAUGUGGAACUGACAGUUGAAGAAAUAAACCUCCUAUCUAUUGCAUAUAAGAAUGUGAUUGGAGCUAGAAGAGCCUCCUGGAGAAUAAUCAGCAGCAUUGAACAGAAAGAAGAAAAAGAAGGAGAAGACAAGCUAAAAAUGAUUUGGGAAUAUCGGCAAAUGAUUGAGACUGAGCUAAAGUUACUCUGCUGUGACGUUCUGGAUGUACUGGACAAAAACCUCAUUCCAGCAGCUAACACUGGCGAGUCCAAAGUUUUCCAUUAUAAAAUGAAAGGGGACUACCACAGGUAUCUGGCAGAAUUUGCCACAGGAAAUGACAGGAAGGAGGCUGUGGAGAACAGCCUAGCGGCUUAUAAAGCUGCUAGUGAUAUUGCAAUGACAGAACUUCCACCAACGCAUCCUAUUCACUUAGGUCUUGCUCUCAAUUUUUCUGUAUUCUACUACGAAAUUCUUAAUUCCCCUGACUAUGCCUGCAGGUUGGCAAAAGCAGCUUUUGAUGACACAGUUGCAGAACUGGAUAUGCUGAGUGAAGAAAGCUAUAAGGACACUAUGGACUUCGGGCAUGCAGGGUGAUGAUGAAGAACAGAAUAAAGAAGCGCUGCAGGACGUGGAAGAUGAAAAUCAGUGAGACAUAAAAACCAACAAGAGAAACCAUCCCUGACCACCCCACUCUUCCCCAUCCCGUCCCUUGGAAACUCCCCAUUGUCCCUAAGAACCGCCAAAUCUGACUUUUACAUUUGGCCUCAGAAUUUAGGUUCCUGCCCUGCUUUUUUGUUUGUUUUUGUUUUUUUAACAGUUUUCAAAAAUUCUUAAAGGCAAGAGUGAAUUUCUGUGGAUUUUACUGGUCCCAACUUUUAGGUUCUUUAAGACACUAACAGGACUGCAUAGAGGCUUUUUCAGCAUUACUGUAUUGUCCCCGUGCCAGAUGUGGCAAGAUUACCAUUAGAAAUGGAAAUUACGUUUGAAAGCCAUUAGGUGAUGCUUCUAGAUGACGCAAGCGUCUAAGGAAGAUGUUAAUCACACUAUAGAGGCAUAAGUGGUAUCAUUUUUCGUUUUUCUAAUUGUUUAAACCGUAUUUUAUACCAAUGUUUGAAAGUAAUUCGGUGUUAGCUUGACAUGGUUAAAGAUUGUUUGGGGAGGGAGUUUUGAAAUGGUUUUGCUGUAAAAAGUUUUUCAAACUCUACAGAAAUGUUGCUGAAAAGCAUGGUGCUAAUAACAGUUCAACAAUCGUGGCUGCUCAUUCUUGCCUACUUUUACUCUCCCACUGAAGCGGGUUAGGGUUGCAGGUGGUGUGGAAAAGCCUGCAUGCAUGUUCAAUUAUUUGUUUCUACUCCUUCUCCCUCCCCCUACCUGCUUCCCCUCACUCCUCCCCUCUGCUAGCUCAAUCACUUCUGUUCAGUAUAUGUAACUUGAAGCUAAUUUGUACUACUGGAUAUCUGACUGGAGCCACAGAUACAGAAUCUGUAUUGUUCUUACUGAAACACAGCAUGGAAUUAACAUUAAACUUAAAUAAAACAAACCUAAAU